GUAAUUAAAGAAAUAUUCAUUAAGAUCAAAGAAGUUUAUACAAUUUCAAGAAUAAAAAAAUAAAUAAAUAAAACUCGUGUCCCUUUGUUACGGUUACAUCCAGCCCUAGUGAAGAGAUUAACCUUCCAUGAAGAGUUGAACAGCUGCACUGCAGGGGGACUUCAUGAUGAUUGGCUCCUUCCUCUCGUCGGCUCCCUCUCAACAAAUCAUCAUCUCUAUCAUUCCCAAAAUACCCAAACUCUUCUCUGCCUUUCCUCUUCUUCCCGUGGGAACUUGGCCUGUGAGAGAUCUGGAACCAAACCCCAGCUUCUUCUUCUCCCGAUGGGGAAAAGGAGGAAUUAAUCCCUAAGGAGAACUCUCCUCCUUUUAUAGACUCAGCAUCCCCUCUCUUUCUUUCUCUGUAUUGAUCCGAAUGGGAAGAUAAACUCGUGGAGGUUUGAUCUGAUCCGGAUGAUUGCAAUAUCCAAUCUGGACGUUGGGGAGAAGAUGCUGGAUGCUUGAUUUACGAAGAGGAUUGGGCGCAUGGGAAGAGGCAGAUGGUUGGAGGUUAAGAUUGGAUCCAUAGAUAAGAAUGAACUCGGUUGGGAAAAAUCGGAAGGAGAUUGUUCGGGAGGAAAGGGAUGCGAGAGAGAAUGAUGAUGCUAGAUUCGGCUGGAAGAGGAGCUGGGAUAGAACGUAGGAUGGUGUUCUCGGCUGAGAGGAAGCAAUCGGUUGGGAACAAGUUGGGUUGUUCACGGGAUGAGGAUGAAUACGGAGACGUGUAAGUUGAAACAGGGGAUUAUUCCGUGGAGGGG
RNAcentral lists this long non-coding RNA (794 nucleotides) under Phoenix dactylifera (date palm). RNAcentral's name for it is "long non-coding RNA (PDAC_LNC012872)". The record is from RNAcentral. Lineage: Eukaryota; Viridiplantae; Streptophyta; Magnoliopsida; Arecales; Arecaceae.